CCCGCMCAAGCGGUGGAAAAAAGWGGUUUAAUUCGAAGCAACGCGCAGAACCUUACCAUCCUUUGACAUGGCGUGUUACCCAGAGAGAUUUGGGGUCCUCUUYGGAGGCGSGCACACAGGUGCUGCAUGGCUGUCGUCAGCUCGUGUCGUGAGAUGUUGGGUUAAGUCCCGCAACGAGCGCAACCCACGUCCUUAGUUGCCAUCAUUCAGUUGGGCACUCUAGGGAGACUGCCGGUGAUAAGCCSCGAGGAAGGKGUGGAUGACGUCAAGUCCUCAUGGCCCUUACGGGAUGGGCUACACACGUGCUACAAUGGCGGUGACASUKRGGCGGGAAGGAGCGAUCUGGAG
RNAcentral lists this ribosomal RNA (348 nucleotides) under Methylobacterium sp. Its description in RNAcentral is "partial 16S ribosomal RNA". It matches the Rfam family "Bacterial small subunit ribosomal RNA", at positions 920 to 1267 of the family's 1533-position model. Lineage: Bacteria; Pseudomonadati; Pseudomonadota; Alphaproteobacteria; Hyphomicrobiales; Methylobacteriaceae. The record is from RNAcentral.